GUUUGAUCCUGGCUCAGGACGAACGCUGGCGGCGUGCCUAAUACAUGCAAGUCGAGCGAGCGGAACUAACAGAUUUACUUCGGUAAUGACGUUAGGAAAGCGAGCGGCGGAUGGGUGAGUAACACGUGGGGAACCUGCCCCAUAGUCUGGGAUACCACUUGGAAACAGGUGCUAAUACCGGAUAAGAAAGCAGAUCGCAUGAUCAGCUUUUAAAAGGCGGCGUAAGCUGUCGCUAUGGGAUGGCCCCGCGGUGCAUUAGCUAGUUGGUAAGGUAAAGGCUUACCAAGGCGAUGAUGCAUAGCCGAGUUGAGAGACUGAUCGGCCACAUUGGGACUGAGACACGGCCCAAACUCCUACGGGAGGCAGCAGUAGGGAAUCUUCCACAAUGGACGCAAGUCUGAUGGAGCAACGCCGCGUGAGUGAAGAAGGUUUUCGGAUCGUAAAGCUCUGUUGUUGGUGAAGAAGGAUAGAGGUAGUAACUGGCCUUUAUUUGACGGUAAUCAACCAGAAAGUCACGGCUAACUACGUGCCAGCAGCCGCGGUAAUACGUAGGUGGCAAGCGUUGUCCGGAUUUAUUGGGCGUAAAGCGAGCGCAGGCGGAAGAAUAAGUCUGAUGUGAAAGCCCUCGGCUUAACCGAGGAACUGCAUCGGAAACUGUUUUUCUUGAGUGCAGAAGAGGAGAGUGGAACUCCAUGUGUAGCGGUGGAAUGCGUAGAUAUAUGGAAGAACACCAGUGGCGAAGGCGGCUCUCUGGUCUGCAACUGACGCUGAGGCUCGAAAGCAUGGGUAGCGAACAGGAUUAGAUACCCUGGUAGUCCAUGCCGUAAACGAUGAGUGCUUAAUGCGUUAGCUCCGGCAC
Molecule: ribosomal RNA, 859 nt
Filed under: viral metagenome
Description: bacterial SSU rRNA
Rfam family: Bacterial small subunit ribosomal RNA
Source: RNAcentral